Molecule: long non-coding RNA, 216 nt
Filed under: Carica papaya (papaya)
Lineage: Eukaryota; Viridiplantae; Streptophyta; Magnoliopsida; Brassicales; Caricaceae
Description: long non-coding RNA (CPAP_LNC008713)
Source: RNAcentral
UGUAGUUUGUAUAUUUUCUUUUAUAUAAAGUCAAACCUUCGAAUGGGUGAGGUCAUUUGAUAAUUUGGUGAAUUUAAUAGCUCUGUGUAAGCAAUAUGUAUAAAACUCUUUCAAGUAUAAAGUCAAUAUUUUCAUCCACUUUGACAUAUAUGUAUGUAACAUGUUCUUUCCCCACUUGUUAAGUAAAAAAAAAUGAGGAGAGAAAGAGAAAAUGGG